CACGAAGGGUGCAAGCGUUACUCGGAAUUACUGGGCGUAAAGCGUGCGUAGGCGGUUUGUUAAGUCCGUUGUGAAAGCCCUGGGCUCAACCUGGGAAUUGCAGUGGAUACUGGCGAGCUAGAGUGCGGUAGAGGAUGGUGGAAUUCCCGGUGUAGCGGUGAAAUGCGUAGAGAUCGGGAGGAACACCCGUGGCGAAGGCGGCCAUCUGGACCAGCACUGACGCUGAGGCACGAAAGCGUGGGGAGCAAACAGG
RNAcentral lists this ribosomal RNA (253 nucleotides) under uncultured bacterium. RNAcentral describes it as "partial 16S ribosomal RNA". It matches the Rfam family "Bacterial small subunit ribosomal RNA", at positions 524 to 776 of the family's 1533-position model. The record is from RNAcentral.